UUUUUUUUUCUGUCGUCUGAAUAUACACUAAAACCAUACUGGUUUAUUUUGGAAAAAUGCCUCCUUCACUGUCGAUGGCGGCGAAACGGCGGCAUUCAGUGACUGUUGUCUUGGUCUCUCCAUGAAUUCGAAGGCAAUCACGUAGUGACUCGUCGUCUCUCUCUCUCUCUCUCUCUCUCUCUCAAUCUCUCCUGGACAGUCGCCGGCACUAGCCCUCUCCCUCUAUCCUCGAAGGUCGACGGCACCGACCCUUUCUCCUCGAAUUAGACUGGAGUAGUGGAAGGCGAUACUGUUGGAAUCGAGAGAGCGGGAGAAGAAGUCAGUUCGCCUUUCAUUUGGAUCAAUCUUGAAAGCUUGGCUAUCGAAGGGGUAUUGUUCGGUUUUGCUGUGAGGAGGAAGAGGACCUGUGUUUUGGAUAACUGCAUUUUGAGCCAAGGAGAAGAUGAGGAACUUAGGUAUAGGGUUGUGAUCGAUACUUAGUUUUUGGGGUAUGCUUUGGAUGUGAAUGUGGAGAGGGCACAAGAUAUUCUCAUGCAUAAAAGACUAUUGCAUAUGGCCUGCCACUAGACCUGUAGUCUAAGUCCGUCUUGUGCAGUCAUCCACCACCACCUUUUGGUUGGUCUGAAGACCUUGAACUUGCUCUUGAAGCCAAGUUCAACAUGGGAAUAACAUUGAAUUCCUUUCCAAGGUAAAA
Molecule: long non-coding RNA, 694 nt
Organism: Rosa chinensis
Lineage: Eukaryota; Viridiplantae; Streptophyta; Magnoliopsida; Rosales; Rosaceae
Exons: 5
Source: RefSeq, a predicted model, not a curated record